UUGUGGUAUUUAAUUCGAAAAGGUAGUUGGUUACAUUACUUGUACCCGCCAAAUAUAGUGGGAUGAUAAUAACGUGUUACUUUGUACCACUUUACUACCAACACUGUUGUUCAGUGGCCUCCCUCCAUCUUGAAUUUCCAAGCCCCCCUCUAUCUUACGGUGAUCUAGAGCAGAUUCCUCUGACGAGCAGAGAUUCCUCUGCCCUAUUCUACCCCAUUUAUAAACUAUUACAAAUAUUUACGAAACACUUCAACGGAAAAAUCAGACGCAAACACAAUCUUGCAGAUAACAUGGGGCAAUUCCGAGAAGCUUUAAAUGAGGAUUAAGCGUGAGUUAAUGAAUCAGUGACAUUCUGUACGCCGAUUCAACACCCAGCGCAAGACUAUAACAAAAAAACUGCUUAUCACUAAAUUAAACUGUCAACAAAAUACCUGCAAAUGAAAGCUGUGGGGAAAAAAAACAUAAUUUACAACCUUAACAGAAACGUCUCUCUUUUAUUGUACAGACUGCUGCAGCUGGAAAAUAAAUGAAUAAUGGAAUAAAGUUAUAGAAAUGAGGAGGAGAUCCUAACCGUGUCCAAUAAUCUGUUUCUAUGUCACUGAAGUGCCUGACACAUGGCGGCUUUAUGCCGGAUGUGGCUCCGGGAACCAUAAACGAUACCGACCAGGAAAUCUGGACCUUCCCGUUCCUACGUUCGGCACGGAGAGUCAGCCGGAAUUCCGAAUUCCAGACCAAAGGGAUGAAAGCUAGACGAACAGACCCAGAACGCGCGCGGGGGGAAACGUCAACCGUCGACGGCAAAACGCAGUAGCGUUCAAGGCUAUGCUACUGGGAUGAAGUCUCCAUGACAACGGAUGAGGAACCCAGCAGGCGGCGCAUGACGACGCAGGGAUCAGCUCCAGGCUAAAUACAACCCAGUACUGGUAUGGAGCCUGUUACGUUGUGUCAAGGAGCUCAACAUCUCCAUUAUAGCACAUCUGCCGUGGCCAUGCUGGGAAUGUGUGCGGUAAAUCAACAGAGCAAGGCAAUGAAUGUCAGCUACAGCCAAGGCCUCUCUUCAGAGAUCUGAGGGUUGUAAUGAAGUUACUCCUGUCUCCGAGGGUCUGCAUCGACCUGUUAGCAUCCGUAUCAAGGGGCCAGACCCUCGCCCUUAACCUUCAGCACUGGCUGCUAUGACGGACGCCACAAGAUGGCGGGAUCAGCGAUCGAUGGCUGCACGGCAUCCGAUACGUGGGAGACGACACGCUGUCACCCAGCGAUCAGCUUCCGCAGAGUUUUGCUUUACCAGAAGGGGCCAGAUGAAGUGGUACCGUGAGCGCAGGUGUCCGAUCUGCGUGGAUUCGCAGUUUAAUUUCUCUGGACUAUGGGGGAAAAUGUAGAAACACCUUUGCCCUUUUACUGCCUUAUCAGACUCCCCCCCCCCCCCCAUCCCGGCUCCCAAGACCAUUUCUCAUGCUUCAUUUAUCCAGCUGCAUUUUUAUUGAGGUAUUUCGGGAUUACCGGGGCCCAGUCUGCAACUACUGCGCUUCUUAAACAUCAUUUCAACAAGGAAACCCUCCAGGCACAGGGAAAUUAGUUUUUUUUUUCCCUUCUCAACUCAUAAUUAUAUCAAGUCAUGAACGAGGCAGAGGCUGAAAUUAACCACAUUCAUCUGAAAACUCAACAAGCUCGACAUUUAAAACUGUGGAGCUCAGGCUCACUGGAAAAAGACAUCUGGUGGUUCAAACCGAUAGCUUGCAAACUCGGUGCCUCGCGCUGACCUAAUUAUUAAAGCAUGACAUGACUUAGCUGUUUGACAUUCUUCAUAUAAUAAAAACAUCAAUCCAUCUUCCAUAAUUGCUCACAGUUAACUAACCGCUGACUGCUUCCCGCUUAGAGGGUCCCAGUUACCUGAAAAACGACAAUUAUGAACUAACAAAUUGCACGGAUUACUUGGGUUACUUCAUAGCUCAGGAAUAAUUAAUUGCAAAUAUAUCUAUACUAUUUAAGGUGCAUAGUAAUUUCAACCAAAGGACUGGUUGGAAAAGAUGAAGAAUGAGGUAAGAAGUCUUUGCAUCUGAGAUGUGGGACCAAUGAAGGCAACACCAACAACAAGGCCCAAGUCUGUUAAGACACUGUGAGCCUCUUCUCGUUGCAGAAUUGCCUAUUGAGCUGGACUGGCUGAGGGCAGAGACGGCCAAGUCAAACAGUCGUUGCCUUUAUUGCUUGCUAGUAGAGUGAGAUUUAUGUGCUCCUGAAACUCAUCCACCAGCAGGGGGGUCAGCACCUCCGGCCGGCUGGAUCACUGAUCAGGGGCUAUUUUUAUGCGGCAACAGCAUCGCAGCUGCGCGCUGAAUGCCAGCUCUCCGCAAAAUGUUCCAUGUGACCACCUCGUAUCCAAUCCGGCGGAUCAACCCGUCGCGUCGACCAAUCCCCAUCUCUGAAACAUAUGACUGUCAUUUAGCAUCGCAGCUCUGCGUGUAUCUCUAGUUAGUGUUAUUCAAAGGCGACAGACAGGCCAAAUGCAGAUUCCAUAGCCAGGGUGUCAUUUCCGGAGGGGGGGGGGAUUAUACGGUGGAAGGGAGACUGGGAUUGCGGACUCUGAAGAUUCCAAAGGAGAUGCCAAAUGAUGACAGCAGUCAGGGGCAAAUUAAAACUACAGUCAUUAAAAUGCUUUUUCUUGCCUUUGCCCUCCUCGACUACUAUUCCAGAACUGCAACAGAUGUAGGCAGGAGACCAAGACGUGGACAGACACUGCCCGUUCUACCUGCUCAAAAAAAAUGAUUCUAUCAGCUGAAAUGGUGCCCAGUAUGCUGUGUGUCUCCUGUUUCCGGUAAACAUUCCUGUCUUUGGUAUUUUUAUGCAGAUCUUGCAAGCUUUCAAUGUCAUGAAGAAAUUCCAGUGCCCUUUAAAGACUUUUCUUUUUAAGGUCGCCUGCUUGUGGACUCUGUAGUUCAGUAAUUGGCACAUGGUCUCUGUAGCCAGGAGUUUUGCUCCAAAGCUGUGUGGAGAACAAGCUGCACUCUUAAUUUUACCAUAAUAACAGCAUCGUAAAUUCCAAGCAAGUGAAUUGCAAUGGAAGGAUGAGAUAGAUGGUCCUGCUUCUUAAGGAUUGUGGUCUCUGGUCUGAUAAAUAUUCAACCACACUCACUCACCACACUGCCAACAUUACAUUUCAUAAGUCUGUGCUCAGGCAAAGGGUGUUACCUUUUAGCACAGUGACUUGAAGGAUAGAAUGAACAUCUUAUAGGACGAAAAGAAGGGAAUGUUUUAAAAGACAGUGUGGUUGAUGUCACGCGCGGUGAAGCUCUUCCCACAUCGUCGCCGCGCCAGGAAGAGUAAAAGAGGCGAAAGCCACAAACAUGAGAUUAUAUGAGCCCGUUUAUUAUACAGCUAUCCAGUAAAGCUAGAGGCUCUUGCUCUGAGAUGGAGCCCAAUAAACUCCAUUCCUCCCAGGAUCCAACAGAGGCUCUCGCACCCCCGUUUGACAGAAGACCAGAGGGACUUGAUGGUAGCCAGAUCCUCUGGGGCAUCAUGCUUCACUGGUAGCAGUUGGUCUGCACUCACAUAGAUUCUUAAUACCUUGCUAGUCUACUAACCCUUUCAGGAACCUGAGACAGUCCAACGCCAGGCACAAAGCGCCCUGCAUUUUACGAUUAAGACCUUAAUAUAGCAAUAAAAAAAAAUCAAUAUAAAAUAAAAUGACUGAAUGUGCACGUUGUUUGC
Brienomyrus brachyistius is the source of this 3705-nucleotide long non-coding RNA. RefSeq lists it as uncharacterized. The transcript is spliced from 5 exons. The record is from RefSeq and is a predicted model, not a curated record. Lineage: Eukaryota; Metazoa; Chordata; Actinopteri; Osteoglossiformes; Mormyridae.